RNAcentral lists this ribosomal RNA (253 nucleotides) under uncultured bacterium. RNAcentral's name for it is "partial 16S ribosomal RNA". It matches the Rfam family "Bacterial small subunit ribosomal RNA", at positions 524 to 776 of the family's 1533-position model. The record is from RNAcentral.
UACGUAGGGUGCGAGCGUUAAUCGGAAUUACUGGGCGUAAAGCGUGCGCAGGCGGUUUUGUAAGCCAGAUGUGAAAUCCCCGGGCUCAACCUGGGAAUGGCAUUUGGGACUGCAAGGCUUGAGUGCGGCAGAGGAGACUGGAAUUCCUGGUGUAGCAGUGAAAUGCGUAGAUAUCAGGAGGAAUACCGAUGGCGAAGGCAGGUCCCUGGGCUGACACUGACGCUCAUGCACGAAAGCGUGGGGAGCAAACAGG